CCUACGGGAGGCAGCAGUGAGGAAUAUUGGUCAAUGGGCGGGAGCCUGAACCAGCCAAGUCGCGUGAGGGAAGACGGUCCUAUGGAUUGUAAACCUCUUUAGGCGGGGAGCAAUGCCGGGCACGCGUGCCCGGAGGGAGAGUACCCGCAGAAUAAGCAUCGGCUAACUCCGUGCCAGCAGCCGCGGUAAUACGGAGGAUGCGAGCGUUAUCCGGAUUUAGUGGGUUUAAAGGGUGCGUAGGCGGAUUUUUAAGUCAGCGGUAAAAUGUCCGGGCUCAACCCGGGCCGGCCGUUGAAACUGGGGAUCUUGAGUGGGCGAGAAGUAUGCGGAAUGUGUGGUGUAGCGGUGAAAUGCAUAGAUAUCACGCAGAACUCCGAUUGCGAAGGCAGCAUACCGGCGCCCGACUGACGCUGAGGCACGAAAGCGUGGGGAUCGAACAGGAUUAGAUACCCUUGUAGUC
RNAcentral lists this ribosomal RNA (460 nucleotides) under uncultured bacterium. RNAcentral describes it as "partial 16S ribosomal RNA". It matches the Rfam family "Bacterial small subunit ribosomal RNA", at positions 338 to 795 of the family's 1533-position model. The record is from RNAcentral.